GCUUUGUUAGUUUUCGGUUAAAUCCAUAUGCUCAACAUAUGGGCUGUCGGGAAUACUGCAUAGCUAGGGAGUGGGAGAGGUAGACGGUACUCCAUAGGAAGGGGUAAAAUCCUUUGAUCUAUGGAAGACCACCUGUGGCGAAGGCGGUCUACCAGAACACGUUCGACGGUGAGGGAUGAAAGCUGGGGGAGCAAACCGGAUUAGAUACCCGGGUAGUCCCAGCUGUAAACUAUGCAAACUCGGUGAUGCAUUGGCUUGUGGCCAAUGCAGUGUCGCAGGGAAGCCGUUAAGUUUGCCGCCUGGGAAGUACGUACGCAAGUAUGAAACUUAAAGGAAUUGGCGGGGGAGCACCACAAGGGGUGAAGCCUGCGGUUCAAUUGGAGUCAACGCCAGAAAUCUUACCUGGGGAGACAGCAGAAUGAAGGUCAAGCUGAAGACUUUACCAGACAAGCUGAGAGGUGGUGCAUGGCCGUCGUCAGCUCGUGCCGUGAGAUGUCCUGUUAAGUCAGGUAACGAGCGAGAUCCCUGCCGCUAGUUGCUACCAUUACUCUCCGGAGUAGUGGGGCGAAUUAGCGGGACCGCUGCAGUUAAUGUGGAGGAAGGAAGGGGCCACGGCAGGUCAGUAUGCCCCGAAACUCUAGGGCCACACGCGGGCUGCAAUGGUAGCAACAAUGGGUCCCGAAUCCGAAAGGAUGAGGUAAUCCUCAAAUGCUACCUCAGUUAUGACUGAGGGCUGUAACUCGCCCUCACGAAUAUGGAAUCCCUAGUAACUGCGUGUCAUUACCGCGCGGUGAAUACGUCCCUGCUCCUUGCACACACCGCCCGU
This 826-nucleotide ribosomal RNA is filed under the name uncultured archaeon. RNAcentral's name for it is "bacterial SSU rRNA". It matches the Rfam family "Archaeal small subunit ribosomal RNA", at positions 528 to 1353 of the family's 1478-position model. The record is from RNAcentral.